Molecule: ribosomal RNA, 440 nt
Filed under: uncultured bacterium
Lineage: Bacteria
Description: partial 16S ribosomal RNA
Rfam family: Bacterial small subunit ribosomal RNA
Source: RNAcentral
CCUACGGGAGGCAGCAGUGGGGGAUAUUGCACAAUGGGGGAAACCCUGAUGCAGCGACGCCGCGUGGGUGAAGAAGCGCCUCGGCGCGUAAAGCCCUGUCAGCAGGGAAGAAAAUGACGGAACCUGAAGAAGAAGCCCCGGCUAACUACGUGCCAGCAGCCGCGGUAAUACGUAGGGGGCAAGCGUUAUCCGGAUUUACUGGGUGUAAAGGGGGCGGAGACGGGGGUGCAAGCCAGGAGUGAAAGCCCGGGGCCCAACCCCGGGACUGCUCUUGGUACUGCGUGGCUAGAGUGCAGGAGGGGCAGGCGGAAUUCCUGGUGUAGCGGUGAAAUGCGUAGAUAUCAGGAGGAACACCGGUGGCGAAGGCGGCCUGCUGGACUGCAACUGACGUUGAGGCCCGAAAGCGUGGGGAGCAAACAGGAUUAGAUACCCUUGUAGUC